ACUCUAUCUAGCUAAUCUGGUGGUGAGGUGGAGAACCUUUGUGUCUAGCUAAGGGAUCAUAAACGCACCAAUGGGCGCCCUGUCAAUGAGACCACUCGGCUCUACCAGUCAGCAGGACGUGGGUGGGGCCAGAUAAGAAUAAAAGCAGGCUGCCAGAGCCGGCAGUGGCAACCAGCCCGGGUCCCUUUCCACACUGUGGAAUCUUUGUUCUUUCACUCUUUGCAGUAUAUCUUGCUACUGCUCACUCUUUGGGUCCACACUGCUUUUAUGAGCUGUAACACUCACCGCGAAGGUCUGCAGCUUCACUCCUGAGCUAGCGAGACCACGAACCCACCGGGAGGAACGAACAACUCCAGACGCGCUGCGUUAAGAGCUGUAACACUCACCGCGAAGGUCUGCAGCUUCACUCCUGAGCCAGCGAGACCACGAACCCACCAGAAGGAAGAAACUCGUAAACCCAUCCGAACAUCAGAAGGAACAAACUCCAGAUGCGCUACCUUGAGAGCUGUAACACUUACCGCCAGGGUCCGCGGCUUCAUUCUUGAAGUCAGUGAGACCAAGAACCCACCAAUUCCGGACACACUGGGAGUGUAGUCUCUAUGUCUCAAGAAUUUAGCAAGAUAUUGAUAAAAUUUGGAGGAGGAAGACAUCACAGGGAUAGCGGAAAGGUUUUCAGGAUAAGACCACGGUGUGGAGCGUCAAGGUGUUUUGCCUGGCGCUCUGUAACUGCAUGCUACUUCUCUUUUGUGUGGAGCCACCAUUGCUUCCCUCUGACGUGAUCUGUGUUCAAUCCAGAAAACUACUGUCUUCUGUCAAGAUCAUAAACUGGCCGGGCGCGGUGGCUCACGCCUGUAAUCCCAGCACUUUCGGAGGCCGAGGCGGGCGGAUCACAAGGUCAGGAGAUUGAGACCAUCUUGGCUAAAACGGUGAAACCCAGUCUCUACUAAAAAUACAAAAAAUUAGCCGGGCACGGUGGCAGGAGCCUGCAGUUCCAACUACUCAGGAGGCUGAGGCAGGAGAAUGGCGUGAACCCGGGAGGCGGAGCUUGCAGUGAGCCGAGAUAGCGCCACUGCAGUCCGCCUGGGAGAAAGAGCGAGACUCCGUCUCAAAAAAAAAAAAAAAAAAAAAAGAUCAUAAACUCAGCUGAUCUGUUUGUCUAGCUCCUCUGUUACCUCUCUUUUGCCAUGAAUAUUUUAUUUACAAGAUUCCAUCAGCAGAAUGGAUGCUUUGUUUUCUUUUAUAGGCUAGAUCAAGCUCACAUAGAUAUCUUACAUUCUGGGAGGUGAGUUUCAAUGCUGCUCAAUUUGCAUUAUAUUAUUACGGUUCUAAUCCAUAAAAAUAGGUUUAAAAAAAGGAAAUUGUAUACAAAGGAUGUUUGAAAUUGUAUGUGUUCUCAAACACAUGUAUUCAUCUCCAUUCAAAACAACUAGUUAGGAACUAAAGGCAGGUAAGUGAGAUAUGCCUUACUCUUUUGUCCCUGUCGUCACACAAAGCCAUCCUGUCCCCAAUAGCCUCUCUGAGUGAGAAUUACUUCUCUCACAUUGAUUAAGUAAGGUUUAGACCCAUGAGGCUUUCCCGGUAAAGACCCAGAAUAAUGAAGGCAGAAUAUACAGAAUUGUAUUUAAUGCUCUAUCACAUAUGAGACAUUUGAGUAUUUGGAAAUAUUAGCUGGACCUUAUGAAACUGCUGCUUUUGUAGGUCAAAAUUGCCCAAAUACCAGUAAUUUCAUGCAGUUUAAAUUAAUAAAUCAAAAAUGAAAUCACUCUUUAGAGUAGGUCUACAUGGAAAAACUUGAGGGUUGACGAAUUGUUUUUAUUUAGAAUCCUAAUACAGCAAGAAACUUUAAACUUACACACACACGUAUACACACAAAUACAUACAUGUAUAUAUAAUUUUUGCUUUAAUAUACGUUCAAUUCUACUUUUACUUUUGAAGACACCUUUAAUUUAUAGAUGUUUCUUUCAUAUAAAAAAGUUUAGAGUGCUAUGAUUUUACCAAAUCAAAGAUUCUAUUGCUUGUAAAAAGGUACUUUAAUUUCUG
Molecule: long non-coding RNA, 2040 nt
Filed under: Homo sapiens (human)
Lineage: Eukaryota; Metazoa; Chordata; Mammalia; Primates; Hominidae
Description: long non-coding RNA NONHSAT202336.1
Source: RNAcentral